This 492-nucleotide unclassified non-coding RNA is filed under the name Hevea brasiliensis (rubber tree). Lineage: Eukaryota; Viridiplantae; Streptophyta; Magnoliopsida; Malpighiales; Euphorbiaceae. The record is from RNAcentral.
CUGCAUUUCCCUAGUACCAUAUGAAGCUUCAUUUGAGUGGGGCACAUGAUGAGCAUGCUGCUGUGGGUGGUGCAUAUGCUUCACCCCACGUGAGAAUCCUGGCGGACAAGAGGACACAUUAGCACUUGCCAUGGAGUUCUCUCGAUAUUGAAGAGCGGCUAUAGCAUUAUCUCGUUCCAUUAUGGCAUUAUUUCUCUCAGCAAUGGCUGAGUCUCGCUGAAGGAAUGCCAUAUCACGCUCCGCAAUAGCUGCUUUCUUUUCCGAAAUAGCCAUAUUUCUCUCAUGAAUAGCAGCAUCUCUUUCAGCCAUGAUGGCCAUGAUCUGUUUCAUUGAAGGCUGAGCUUGCAUCAACCACUGACCAUGCGCUGUUUUAUGUUGAUCUGCUUUAUGCCUUCCAUUUUCACGAUGCCCACCAUCAUCCAUUGCAGCCCACAGGUGGCAAUAAAUGCAGAUGAAAGUUUAGAACCUCUUGUUCAAGUGCAGUGAUCUGUC